This is a long non-coding RNA of Aphis gossypii (cotton aphid), 1796 nucleotides long. RefSeq lists it as uncharacterized. The record is from RefSeq and is a predicted model, not a curated record. NCBI's taxonomy places the organism in Eukaryota, Metazoa, Arthropoda, Insecta, Hemiptera, Aphididae. The transcript has 3 exons.
CAGUGGAUCUAUGGAAAUCUCAUUGAUGGUUUAUAAGCUGAUUAUAAAUUCAAUCAGUUCAUAUAUUUGUUUUAUGCUCAAUUCAAGUAGUAUAUUAUAACGGCCAAUUAUUUUAAAUUCGAUUCUGAUUUACAAUUUGAUUAUCCGCUGGCUUAGUCACCGAAAAUAGUUUUCACUCAGUUAGCCGCUAUCGGAUAGUUGAUCAUAGUUUGUGUCCUGGCGAGUUCACGAUCAUGUCGAGUAGACGUAGACGCGUUAGAAAAGCUAUCCGCGAAGUCCUUUGCAAAAACUCUAAGUGUACUGUAGUAGUGUAGUGAUCGCUGAUCUUUGCAAUACAUAUAGCGAUUACAUAACCACACUCGAAGAAUAUAAAGUACGAACUAUAAAUUAUAAUUUAUGUUUAGUUUUUACUUAUUUAUACUCAUGAUCAAACAAUCGAUAUUAUAAUAUGUAUUUUUUUCUUCGAAAAAAAAUCGUUUUUAAAAUUGUUUUUUUUUAGUUCUAUAUAACACUAUUAUAUAUAUCUAAAUAUUAAAUACGUUUUUAAAUAAGUUUGUAAAAAAAAUUACAGAGAAUCGAUGGCUGUAGCUCUGUAGUCUGUAGGUAAGUAUACCAUUUGGGGUAUUUUUGGGUAUACAUAUAUAUUUGAGGUAAAGUGAAGUUUAAUGAUGCACGGAAUUCAGUGCAUAAUAUCGCAAUAAGCAUUAGUCUUUGAUCUCGAAUUGAAAAAAAAAUAUAGAGCCUGUUUCUAUCCAUGAACUUUGUUCUUACUUUUUAUAGAAAAAAAAUAUUGAACUUAGAAGUUUUUCAUAAAAUUGAUUUGUUAUGUUAUCAAAGUAAAAAAGUUAAAAAAAUAUAUUAUUAUUAUUAUUAUUAUAUUAUUAUGAUUUUUAGACGUAGUCUAGCCGUAUUCUGAUUUCUGUCACCAAGGCGAUAUUCUCGAGUCACACACGAUAUACAUUUUAUAAAAUCAUUAACGCAGAUCAACCAAAAAUAAUGUUUAGUUCCAUUUUUUUUUGUUUGGCAUUAUUGGCGUGUUUGCACUGUCCAUCGGCCGCGGUCACCGAUCAGACCGGUCCGUGGCCCGCUGUCGUCCACUGGACUCGCUGUCCCCACGACCGUCCGGCCGCGGUCGACAACCGGGCGACAGACGAGACCAUUUCCGCCGCAGUCACCGAUCAGACCGACCCGUGGCCCGCUGUCGUCCACUGGACUCGCUGUCCCCACGACCGUCCGGCCGCGGUCGAUCACCAGGCGACGGACGAGACCAUUUCGGCCGCAGUCGACCUCCGAGCGACGGACGAGACCAUUUCGGCUACGGCGUACGAUCAUUUUUAUGAUGAAGCUGAAAGAGAAGAGAUCGAUGACGAUAACAUUUCGAUUAAUAAUUUCCUACCCAUCAUCCUAAUAGCGAUGUUUUUAUUGAUGUAUCCGAUCCUUUAUUGUUCUUGUAAUUCCAGGAAACAAAAAGGUACUUUUUAUUUACAGACGAGUAACUGUCAGUGUACAGCGAAAUAUAUUCGCUGUAUUUAAAUAAUCACAUCGGAUACAUCAAUAAAAACAUCGCUAUUAGAAUGAUUGGUAGGAAAUUAUGAAUCGAAAUGUCAGGACUGUUUUUUAAAUUUUUUUCACUGACCUUGAUCCGCGGCUGUGAUGAAGUGGAGGUGUAGACGUGUAGUGGCAAUGUUUUGGUUUUGAUCAAUGCAUGAACUAAGAUAUACCUCAAAAAUAUGCAUUUAUGCUCUAAUUUUGUAAGAAUAUACCCUAUAAAAUAAAAAUUAAUUAAUUAUAAAUAA